Molecule: ribosomal RNA, 291 nt
Filed under: uncultured bacterium
Lineage: Bacteria
Description: partial 16S ribosomal RNA
Rfam family: Bacterial small subunit ribosomal RNA
Source: RNAcentral
AAGUCUUUACGGAGAAAGCUUUAUGCACCAUUGGAUGAGCCUGCACUUGAUUAGUUUGUUGGUGGGGUAAUGGCCUACCAAGACUGUGAUCAAUAGCUGAUUUGAGAGGAUGAUCAGCCACAUUGGGACUGAGACACGGCCCAAACUCCUACGGGAGGCAGCAGUGGGGAAUCUUGCACAAUGGAGGAAACUCUGAUGCAGCGAUGCCGCGUGAGUGAAGAAGGCCCUUGGGUUGUAAAGCUCUUUCGUCGGGGAAGAAAAUGACUGUACCCGAAUAAGAAGGUCCGGCUA